UAUAAUUGUAAUAAGUUUCCGCGUCCAACUUUGAUCGUUCGUCUUAUUUAAAAUUUUUUUAUAAUUAGUAUUUGUAUUGUUAUGAGAUGGUAAAAUAUGAAUAGUACUUUACUCGUGACUUAUGCUUUUAAAUUUUUUUAAAAUUUUUUCAAAUAAGACGGACGGUUAAAGUUGAGCGCGAAAAACUAUGGCUGCACUUAUA
This is a non-coding RNA of Oryza glumipatula, 202 nucleotides long. The record is from Rfam. NCBI's taxonomy places the organism in Eukaryota, Viridiplantae, Streptophyta, Magnoliopsida, Poales, Poaceae.